This 359-nucleotide transfer-messenger RNA is filed under the name bacterium. RNAcentral describes it as "GCA-2742935 sp002742935 Standard tmRNA". It matches the Rfam family "transfer-messenger RNA". Rfam says of the family: Bacterial tmRNA, also known as 10Sa RNA or SsrA, is named for its dual tRNA and mRNA-like properties. Its role is to liberate the mRNA from a stalled ribosome. The record is from RNAcentral. RNAcentral also lists the same sequence under 2 other names.
GGGGAUGUUUAUGGAUUCGACGGGAAUGAUUGUGGGGUUAGGUUGCAUGUCGAUAAUCUUGGAUAUAUCGUAAAAUUUCCUUGAAACAAAUCUAAAUGCAAAUAAUGAUUACGCAUUAGCAGCCUAAUAGCGGUUGCUCGAUCUCUUUAAGUAGUCUGCCGGCUUUUAGAAGAUCGUCAUUAGGCAGGGUAGCCUUUUAUACUAAUCUCUGGGUUUAAAGGGCGGAAUUUUCAGGGAUAGCUUUUCUGGAAUUUAGUUGUUGGAAGAUCAGAAGAGCGAAGUUAAAACAACAACUAAGCAUGUAGAAGCUUAAUUUGACGCUUUUUCGGACAGGGGUUCGACUCCCCUCAUCUCCACUU